CAGUAGCCGCGGUAAUACGUAGGGUGCGAGCGUUAAUCGGAAUUACUGGGCGUAAAGCGUGCGCAGGCGGUUAUAUAAGACAGAUGUGAAAUCCCCGGGCUCAACUUGGGACCUGCAUUUGUGACUGUAUAGCUAGAGUACGGUAGAGGGGGAUGGAAUUCCGCGUGUAGCAGUGAAAUGCGUAGAUAUGCGGAGGGACACCGAUGGCGAAGGCAAUCCCCUGGACCUGUACUGACGCUCAUGCACGAAAGCGUGGGGAGCAAACAGGAUUAGAUACCCCGGUAGUCCCUGUCUCUUAUAC
RNAcentral lists this ribosomal RNA (301 nucleotides) under uncultured bacterium. RNAcentral describes it as "partial 16S ribosomal RNA". It matches the Rfam family "Bacterial small subunit ribosomal RNA", at positions 509 to 807 of the family's 1533-position model. The record is from RNAcentral.